AUGAAUGUUUAAAAAUUUAAAACUCAAAGAACUUGGCGGUGUUUUAGACCACCCAGGGGAACCUGUCUCAUAAUCGAUAAUCCACGUUGCACCUGACCUCUUUUUGUUUUCAGUUUGUAUACCGUUGUCGUCAGGGAACUUUUUAGAAACUAGAAGUUAGCAAUUAAAAUAUAAUUUAGUAUGUCAAAUCAAGGUGCAGCUAAUAAAGGGGGGAGGAUGGGUUACAAUUAUAAUUUAUAAUGACGGAAGGAGGACUUGGAAGUAAAUUAGAUAUAAAUAUUUGAAUUAGGCUCUGAAACGUGU
RNAcentral lists this ribosomal RNA (303 nucleotides) under Myurella amoena. RNAcentral's name for it is "partial 12S ribosomal RNA". The record is from RNAcentral. Lineage: Eukaryota; Metazoa; Mollusca; Gastropoda; Neogastropoda; Terebridae.